UACGGAGGGUGCGAGCGUUGUCCGGAAUCACUGGGCGUAAAGGGCGCGUAGGUGGCCUGAUGAGUCAACGGUGAAAGCUCGUCGCUUAACGACGAGUCGGCCGUCGAUACUGUCGGGCUGGAGCACUGUAGAGGCAGAUGGAAUUCCGGGGUGUAGCGGUGGAAUGCGUAGAGAUCCGGAAGAACACCGGUGGCGAAGGCGGUCUGCUGGGCAGUUGCUGACACUGAGGCGCGACAGCGUGGGGGAGCAAACAGG
RNAcentral lists this ribosomal RNA (255 nucleotides) under uncultured bacterium. RNAcentral's name for it is "partial 16S ribosomal RNA". It matches the Rfam family "Bacterial small subunit ribosomal RNA", at positions 524 to 776 of the family's 1533-position model. The record is from RNAcentral.